UACAGAGGUCCCGAGCGUUGUUCGGAUUCACUGGGCGUAAAGGGUGCGUAGGUGGUGGGGUAAGUCUCGUGUGAAAGCUCGCAGCUUAACUGCGAAAAGUCACGGGAUACUAUUCCGCUGGAGGCUUGGAGGGGGGACUGGAAUACUUGGUGUAGCAGUGAAAUGCGUAGAUAUCAGGAGGAACACCCGUGGCGAAAGCGGCUCUCUGGGACGGUACUGACGCUGAGACGCGAAAGCGUGGGGAGCAAACAGG
This 253-nucleotide ribosomal RNA is filed under the name uncultured bacterium. Its description in RNAcentral is "partial 16S ribosomal RNA". It matches the Rfam family "Bacterial small subunit ribosomal RNA", at positions 524 to 776 of the family's 1533-position model. The record is from RNAcentral.